Molecule: ribosomal RNA, 490 nt
Filed under: uncultured bacterium
Lineage: Bacteria
Description: partial 16S ribosomal RNA
Rfam family: Bacterial small subunit ribosomal RNA
Source: RNAcentral
AUUGAACGCUGGCGGCAGGCCUAACACAUGCAAGUCGAACGGUAACAGGAAGCAGCUUGCUGCUUUGCUGACGCGUGGCGGACGGGUGAGUAAUGUCUGGGAAACUGCCCGAUGGAGGGGGAUAACUACUGGAAACGGUAGCUAAUACCGCAUAACGUCGCAAGACCAAAGAGGGGGACCUUAGGGCCUCUUGCCAUCGGAUGUGCCCCGAUGGGAUUAGCUAGUAGGUGGGGUAACGGCUCACCUAGGCGACGAUCCCUAGCUGGUCUGAGAGGAUGACCAGCCACACUGGAACUGAGACACGGUCCAGACUCCUACGGGAGGCAGCAGUGGGGAAUAUUGGACAAUGGGCGCAAGCCUGAUGCAGCCAUGCCGCGUGUAUGAAGAAGGCCUUCGGGUUGUAAAGUACUUUCAGCGGGGAGGAAGAGAGUAAAGUUAAUACCUUUGCUCAUUGACGGUACCCGCAGAAGAAGCACCGGCUAACUCCGUG